Long non-coding RNA from Arachis stenosperma, 720 nucleotides. RefSeq lists it as uncharacterized. NCBI's taxonomy places the organism in Eukaryota, Viridiplantae, Streptophyta, Magnoliopsida, Fabales, Fabaceae. The transcript is spliced from 2 exons. The record is from RefSeq and is a predicted model, not a curated record.
CACCCCCAAACAUAAACCUAGCCGCUCUCUACUCUCAGUCUCUCAGUCUCUCAAUUUCACUCUCUGCACUCACUCUCAGUCUCACUCGAAGAAACCCAAGGCCGGCGGCGAACCCAUCUUCUGCAGCACCUCCCCAGCCGGCGAACCCCUUCCUCCCACCACCUCGUAGCGUCGUCGAAGCCUUUCUCCCAGCGCCGCCGGACCUUUCUUCCCAGCCCCUCCUCGCGGACAGCACCACCCAACCCCAGCCAGCACCACCCUCACGGUCGUAGACACUACACCACCCAGCAGUCCAGCACCAUCCAGCGGCACCCCGGCGCCACCAACAGGACCGAUCUGGCCACCUGCAACACCGUUUGUGGCCACCCAUAGCAGUACUGCUGCGUUUCUGGCCUGGCCACCCACAACACAGCAGCCACUGGUUGGCCUUCUUCCAGUGCUCUUCCUCGUUCCCAUCCACUUGAGUUCAGGUUGGUUUGCAUUAAGAAGUUUAGCUAUUUUGUUGGAGAAGGCACCAUAACUUUGCUAUCAGUUUAAUGACAAUUCAUUUUUAUUUUCAGUUGUCUUGACUGUUGAACUAUUGAACUUCUUUAAUUGUCGUAUUUGAAUUCUGUUGUCGUUAAAUUUCAUUAGAUCAAGACUUUGUUAGAUAUUGUGUAUUUCGGUUUGUCAAUUUCAAUGUUAUGACUUUGCAUAAUAGUAUGGUAGAAUUUUUUUUUA